This 447-nucleotide ribosomal RNA is filed under the name uncultured bacterium. RNAcentral describes it as "bacterial SSU rRNA". It matches the Rfam family "Bacterial small subunit ribosomal RNA", at positions 355 to 825 of the family's 1533-position model. The record is from RNAcentral.
UCGGGAAUUUUGGGCAAUGGGGGAAACCCUGACCCAGCAACGCCGCGUGAAGGAUGAAGUAUUUCGGUAUGUAAACUUCGAAAGAAUAGGAAGAAUAAAUGACGGUACUAUUUAUAAGGUCCGGCUAACUACGUGCCAGCAGCCGCGGUAAUACGUAGGGACCAAGCGUUGUUCGGAUUUACUGGGCGUAAAGGGCGCGUAGGCGGCUUGACAAGUCACUUGUGAAAUCUCUGGGCUUAACCCAGAACGGCCAAGUGAAACUGUCAUGCUAGAGUGCAGAAGGGGCAAUCGGAAUUCUUGGUGUAGCGGUGAAAUGCGUAGAUAUCAAGAGGAACACCUGAGGUGAAGACGGGUUGCUGGGCUGACACUGACGCUGAGGCGCGAAAGCCAGGGGAGCAAACGGGAUUAGAUACCCCCGUAGUCCCUGAGCGGGCUGGCAAGGCGCAU